Long non-coding RNA from Gopherus flavomarginatus (Mexican gopher tortoise), 2358 nucleotides. RefSeq lists it as uncharacterized. The record is from RefSeq and is a predicted model, not a curated record. NCBI's taxonomy places the organism in Eukaryota, Metazoa, Chordata, Testudines, Testudinidae. The transcript is spliced from 2 exons.
AAGAUAUUGAUUUAUCUGAUUUCUGUUUUUCAUUAAUACUAAAAUUAUUACUGGAGUGUUAAGUUCUUCACCUCUCACUCAAAACUUCAGGAACUUGGAACAUCAAACUCUUGACAUGUCAGAGGCAAGACUGAUCUUUUUUCUUUUAUCACCAGGUGAUAAAGUCAGUUCCAGGAACAUAACUAUGAAGCAAUAAUGGAUUACAAUUAUAUGAAUUCUUGGAAGAGACUAAUAAUACUCCACAAUUUUUUAAAAUCUAUGGGACUAAAGUCUACAAAGCCCUAUAUUUUCUUGCUUGUGUCAUAUGCAGUGGAAAUGACAGGAUACAACAGUAAUGGGCAGUGAAUAUCAAAGGCCAGGGAAGGCUAAGCCUUCCCUGACCCAGGCUGUGGCCCCACCAAUGUCCUGCCCCAAGGCCCUACCCUCCCUCCCCCUCUACUCUGAAGCCUGCGGGGGCUCACUCAGCUCCAAUCGCGGCCUGGAGCUCAGGCCUGUUGGUGGCCCAGGGCAGACUGGGGCUGGCCUGGCACUGGGGCCAGCAGCUUGGCCCAGCCAGCGCUGCAGGGGCUGGUGGCUCAGCCCAUCGCUACGGGGGCCAGCCGGCAUGGCUGGGCUGUGGCUUCUCUGACCACUUGCUGGGGAGGGAGUGCUCGGGGCUCCAGUGGGUAGGGGUGGGGCCUCAGGUGGAAGAGGAAAGGCCAGCGGACUAGCAUCCCUGAAGAAGGGGGGGUGUCACCCACGGCCUAUGGCAACAGUAGCUCUAGCAAGGAGUGACAACAGUCAAGGAGAGGUCCUCCUCUAACCAUGAAAAAAUAUCUACGGUGACAACUGACACAAGUGAGAAAAAAUAAAUGGACCUGGUGUGUCAGUAUCAAGUACUUGGGCAGCAGCAUCCAUCAAGCUUAUGGGGACAUAAGAGAAUUCAGUCAGGACAAAAUGAGUUUUUAUUUUCAUGCCAAAAAUAAACAUUGAGACCAAUCCUGUAGUCCUUCAUCCACAACAUUAGACCCUUUUACGACAGUCCAAAUCUGUCAUUUUGCAGUGUUCCUGAAAAUUUAAAAUUAAUUUGUCAAUAUACAUCAGUGAUUCUCAACCCGCAGACCAUGGGCUGCAUGUGGCCCAAUUAGCACACAGCUGUGACCCAGCUCAGCUGUAUGCUAAGGCCAGCCCACGUGGCGGGGUCUGGGUUCCAGCUACCCAGUGCAGUGGGGUCCAGGCUGCCCCGCUGCCCAGCACGGCAGGGUUGGGGUCCAGUCGAGGAUGCCAGCCCCGCCCGCAGAGUCCAGAGUUUGUAGCUGCUGUCCGGCCCCACAAGCUCCAGUGCUGUCACCUGGCCCUGCAAGCUCUGGGGCUGCCUCCCAGCCCCACACAGUGCGGGAUUCAGGGCAGCCAUACAGUGGGGAUCCAGGGUCCAGAAUUGAGGUCUGGGCUGCCACUGCCUGUCACCUGGCCCCUGCAGCCCAGGUAACACGUGAGCUGCAUAUGCGGCCUGCAAUGAUAAAUAAGUUGAGAACCACUGAUAUACAUCAUAGCUGCAAUUUACCAACGCAUUUAUUCAACUUUUUAUAUUAUGUACUUUAAUUUUUUAAAUUAUAGUUCAGAAUAUUGUGUAAUUAAGGCCAAACAUAGAUUUACCAGGAUGCUUAUAAAUUAUAAAAAAGUUCUACAGUGGCAUCGAUGCAAUUCUGCAAUCACUUAUACAUGUGUGUAGCUUUAAGCGCAAGUAGUCUUAUUGACUUGAAUGGGUCUACUUAUAUAUUUAAAGUUAAUCAUGUGUAAAAGUCUUUGCUGGAAUGAGGCCUUAUGCAGUGCAAAACACAAUCAAAAUAAGGUUUAAAUUCUCAGACAAUUAAGAGGAGUCUGCCUACAGAAAAAGCUCAGAUAAGUUUUUAACAAAUUAUAGUUUUAAGAUUAAAUUCCCUUUUAAAAUACUUAUAAAGUACUUUCCACUUUCAUAACACUUUUUAUCGGAGGAUUGUACUUUGUAAACAUUAUAUAUCUCAGUCUCAUAACCCACCUAAGUAAGAUUGAAGGUAAGUAUUAUACUCAUUGUACAGCUGAGUUUCAGAGAAGUUAAGGCCUGAUCCAAAGCCCCUUAAAUUCUUGAAGGCAAUGGGAAGACUUCUAUCCUGCAAAAGAUCCUUGGGGUCACUUACUAGGAGUGGGAAAGGAAACAUCUAUUUUAUAUUUCUUAUUUUCUUUUACAUUUAAAAAAUGACUUGUGUAAUCUAUGGACAGCCUCGCUUCAUUUAGAAAUCUGUAUCUAUGCCACUGUUUCCUUUUUUCAUGUUGUUUACCUUCUUGUGCCAUAGAGAUGAUAUCAUACAAUAAAUAAAGGGCAAAGUCCUUUUGCAAGCA